GGCCCCGUAGUUCAACUGGAUAGAAUAUCAGAUUUCGGCUCUGAGGGUUGGGGGUUCGAAUCCUCCCGGGGUCACAA
This 77-nucleotide transfer RNA is filed under the name Crocinitomicaceae bacterium. Its description in RNAcentral is "tRNA-Arg". It matches the Rfam family "tRNA". From Rfam's summary of the family: Transfer RNA (tRNA) molecules are approximately 80 nucleotides in length. Their secondary structure includes four short double-helical elements and three loops (D, anti-codon, and T loops). Further hydrogen bonds mediate the characteristic L-shaped molecular structure. tRNAs have two regions of fundamental functional importance: the anti-codon, which is responsible for specific mRNA codon recognition, and the 3' end, to which the tRNAs corresponding amino acid is attached (by aminoacyl-tRNA synthetases). tRNAs cope with the degeneracy of the genetic code in two manners: having more than one tRNA (with a specific anti-codon) for a particular amino acid; and 'wobble' base-pairing, i.e. permitting non-standard base-pairing at the 3rd anti-codon position. Lineage: Bacteria; Pseudomonadati; Bacteroidota; Flavobacteriia; Flavobacteriales; Crocinitomicaceae. The record is from RNAcentral.